GAGAUGAGUUCUCCCUGAGACUUAAAGUCUCCUGAAGGAACGUUGAAGACGACGACGUUGAUAGGCCGGGUGUGUAAGCGCAGCGAUGCGUUGAGCUAACCGGUACUAAUGAACCGUGAGGCUUAACCUU
Molecule: ribosomal RNA, 130 nt
Filed under: Salmonella enterica
Lineage: Bacteria; Pseudomonadati; Pseudomonadota; Gammaproteobacteria; Enterobacterales; Enterobacteriaceae
Also listed under: 2 other names
Description: partial 23S ribosomal RNA
Rfam family: Bacterial large subunit ribosomal RNA
Source: RNAcentral